CAGUGCCGUAACUAGCCUUUUAUGCGCCCGGUGCGAGAAAUAUAAAAAAUGUUGUUCAUGGAUGGAAAAUGAAUACAAUUGAUCAUCAAUCAUUUACCUAAAUUCGAAAUUUUGACCAUUCCAUGAAGACCGAA
This is a long non-coding RNA of Ostrinia nubilalis (European corn borer), 134 nucleotides long. RefSeq lists it as uncharacterized. The transcript is spliced from 2 exons. The record is from RefSeq and is a predicted model, not a curated record. NCBI's taxonomy places the organism in Eukaryota, Metazoa, Arthropoda, Insecta, Lepidoptera, Crambidae.